GGAGAGGUGUCCGAGCGGUUUAAGGAGCCGGUCUUGAAAACCGGUGACUCAUCAGAGCCAUGGGUUCGAAUCCCAUCCUCUCCG
RNAcentral lists this transfer RNA (84 nucleotides) under Caudoviricetes sp. RNAcentral describes it as "tRNA-Ser". It matches the Rfam family "tRNA". Rfam says of the family: Transfer RNA (tRNA) molecules are approximately 80 nucleotides in length. Their secondary structure includes four short double-helical elements and three loops (D, anti-codon, and T loops). Lineage: Duplodnaviria; Heunggongvirae; Uroviricota; Caudoviricetes. The record is from RNAcentral.